This 392-nucleotide ribosomal RNA is filed under the name uncultured bacterium. RNAcentral describes it as "bacterial SSU rRNA". It matches the Rfam family "Bacterial small subunit ribosomal RNA", at positions 355 to 764 of the family's 1533-position model. The record is from RNAcentral.
UCGGAAAUUUUGGGCAAUGGGCGAAAGCCUGACCCAGCAACGCCGCGUGAGGGAUGAAGUAUUUCGGUAUGUAAACCUCGAAAGAAUGGGAAGAAUAAAUGACGGUACCAUUUAUAAGCUCCGGCUAACUACGUGCCAGCAGCCGCGGUAAUACGUAGGGAGCAAGCGUUGUUCGGAUUUACUGGGCGUAAAGGGCACGUAGGCGGCGCGGUAAGUCACUUGUGAAAUCUCUGAGCUUAACUCAGAACGGCCAAGUGAUACUGCUGGGCUAGAGUGCGGAAGAGGCAACCGGAAUUCUGGGUGUAGCGGUGAAAUGCGUAGAUAUCAAGAGGAACACCUGAGGCGAAGGCGGGUUGCUGGGCCGACACUGACGCUGAUGCGCGAAAGCCAGG